UCGAGAAUCUUCGGCAAUGGGCGCAAGCCUGACCGAGCGACGCCGCGUGCGGGAUGACGGCCCUUGGGUUGUAAACCGCUGUCAGAGGGGAGGAAAGCUUCGGCUUGACCGAGCCUCAGAGGAAGCACGGGCUAAGUUCGUGCCAGCAGCCGCGGUAAGACGAACUGUGCGAACGUUAUUCGGAAUCACUGGGCUUACAGGGUGCGUAGGCGGCUUGUCAGGUCAGGUGUGAAAUCCCACGGCCCAACCGUGGAACUGCGCUUGAAACCGAUAAGCUUGAGUCAGCUAGGGGUGCACGGAACUUCCAGUGGAGCGGUGAAAUGUGUUGAUAUUGGAAGGAACACCAGAAGCGAAAGCGGUGCACUGGGGCUGGUCUGACGCUGAGGCACGAAAGCCAGGGGAGCGAACGGGAUUAGAUACCCCCGUAGUCC
Molecule: ribosomal RNA, 431 nt
Filed under: uncultured prokaryote
Description: bacterial SSU rRNA
Rfam family: Bacterial small subunit ribosomal RNA
Source: RNAcentral